UUUAUUGGAGAGUUUGAUCCUGGCUCAGGAUGAACGCUGGCGGCGUGCCUAAUACAUGCAAGUCGAGCGGGGUCUGGCCCUUCGGGGCGGGACCCAGCGGCGAACGGGUGAGUAACACGUGGGCAACCUGCCCGCAAGACCGGGAUAACUCCGGGAAACCGGAGCUAAUACCGGAUAAUCCUUUUCUCCGCCUGGAGGAGAGGUAAAAGACGGCCUUGG
RNAcentral lists this ribosomal RNA (219 nucleotides) under Thermoactinomyces mirandus. RNAcentral's name for it is "Thermoactinomyces sp. AMNI-1 partial 16S ribosomal RNA". It matches the Rfam family "Bacterial small subunit ribosomal RNA", at positions 1 to 217 of the family's 1533-position model. The record is from RNAcentral. Lineage: Bacteria; Bacillati; Bacillota; Bacilli; Caryophanales; Thermoactinomycetaceae.